GAUGAACGCUGGCGGCGUGCCUAAUACAUGAAAGUCGAGCGAACGGACGAGAAGCUUGCUUCUCUGAUGUUAGCGGCGGACGGGUGAGUAACACGUGGAUAACCUACCUAUAAGACUGGGAUAACUUCGGGAAACCGGAGCUAAUACCGGAUAAUAUUUUGAACCGCAUGGUUCAAAAGUGAAAGACGGUCUUGCUGUCACUUAUAGAUGGAUCCGCGCUGCAUUAGCUAGUUGGUAAGGUAACGGCUUACCAAGGCAACGAUGCAUAGCCGACCUGAGAGGGUGAUCGGCCACACUGGAACUGGGCCACGGUCCAGACACCUAAGGUAGGCAGCAGUAGGGAGUCUUCCGCAAUGGGCGAAAGCCUGACGGAGCAACGCCGCUUGAGUGAUGAAGGUCUUCGGAUCGUAAAACUCAGUUUUUAGGGAAGAACAAAUGUGUAAGUAACUGUGCACAUCUUGACGGUACCUAAUCAGAAAGCCACGGCUAACUACGUG
This 497-nucleotide ribosomal RNA is filed under the name uncultured bacterium. Its description in RNAcentral is "partial 16S ribosomal RNA". It matches the Rfam family "Bacterial small subunit ribosomal RNA", at positions 28 to 507 of the family's 1533-position model. The record is from RNAcentral.